ACUCCUACGGGAGGCAGCAGUGAGGAAUAUUGGUCAAUGGGCGCAAGCCUGAACCAGCCAUGCCGCGUGCAGGAUGACGGUCCUAUGGAUUGUAAACUGCUUUUGUACGGGAAGAAACACUCCUUCGUGAAGGAGCUUUGUACGGUUAACCGUAAGAAUAAGGAUCGGCUAACUCCGUGCCAGCAGCCGCGGUAAUACGGAGGAUCCAAGCGUUAUCCGGAAUCAUUGGGUUUAAAGGGUCCGUAGGCGGUUUUAUAAGUNAUGUGGUGAAAUCCGGCAGCUCAACUGUCGAACUGCCAUUGAUACUGUAGAACUUGAAUUAUUGUGAAGUAAACUAGAAUAUGUAGUGUAGCGGUGAAAUGCUUAGAGAUUACAUGGAAUACCAAUUGCGAAGGCAGGUUGAC
RNAcentral lists this ribosomal RNA (404 nucleotides) under uncultured bacterium. Its description in RNAcentral is "bacterial SSU rRNA". It matches the Rfam family "Bacterial small subunit ribosomal RNA", at positions 335 to 730 of the family's 1533-position model. The record is from RNAcentral.